GCACCCGUAGCUCAGCUGGAUAGAGUGCUGCCCUCCGAAGGCAGAGGUCGCGCGUUCGAAUCGCGCCGGGUGCGCCA
This 77-nucleotide transfer RNA is filed under the name Rhizobiaceae bacterium. RNAcentral describes it as "tRNA-Arg". It matches the Rfam family "tRNA". From Rfam's summary of the family: Transfer RNA (tRNA) molecules are approximately 80 nucleotides in length. Their secondary structure includes four short double-helical elements and three loops (D, anti-codon, and T loops). Further hydrogen bonds mediate the characteristic L-shaped molecular structure. tRNAs have two regions of fundamental functional importance: the anti-codon, which is responsible for specific mRNA codon recognition, and the 3' end, to which the tRNAs corresponding amino acid is attached (by aminoacyl-tRNA synthetases). tRNAs cope with the degeneracy of the genetic code in two manners: having more than one tRNA (with a specific anti-codon) for a particular amino acid; and 'wobble' base-pairing, i.e. permitting non-standard base-pairing at the 3rd anti-codon position. The record is from RNAcentral. Lineage: Bacteria; Pseudomonadati; Pseudomonadota; Alphaproteobacteria; Hyphomicrobiales; Rhizobiaceae.